Molecule: ribosomal RNA, 447 nt
Filed under: uncultured bacterium
Lineage: Bacteria
Description: bacterial SSU rRNA
Rfam family: Bacterial small subunit ribosomal RNA
Source: RNAcentral
UGGGGAAUCUUGGACAAUGGGCGCAAGCCUGAUCCAGCCAUGCCGCGUGAGUGAUGAAGGCCUUAGGGUUGUAAAGCUCUUUUGCCGGGGACGAUAAUGACGGUACCCGGAGAAUAAGUCCCGGCUAACUUCGUGCCAGCAGCCGCGGUAAUACGAAGGGGACUAGCGUUGUUCGGAAUCACUGGGCGUAAAGCGCACGUAGGCGGAUUUGUAAGUCAGGGGUGAAAUCCCGGGGCUCAACCUCGGAACUGCCUUUGAUACUGCGGAUCUCGAGUCCGAUAGAGGUGAGUGGAAUUCCUAGUGUAGAGGUGAAAUUCGUAGAUAUUAGGAAGAACACCGGUGGCGAAGGCGGCUCACUGGAUCGGUACUGACGCUGAGGUGCGAAAGCAAGGGGAUCAAACAGGAUUAGAUACCCGGGUAGUCCCUGAGCGGGCUGGCAAGGCGCAU